CCUACGGGUGGCUGCAGUAGGGAAUCUUUCACAAUGGACGAAAGCCUGAUGGAGCAACGCCGCGUGCAGGAUGAAGGCCUACGGGUUGUAAACUUCUUUUGUCAAAGAAUAACGUGAGUCACGUUUGCCUUUUUGUAUUUACUUUAUGUCUCAGGAUCGGCUAACUCCGUGCCAGCAGCCGCGGUAAUACGGAGGAUGCGAGCGUUAUCCGGAUUUAUUGGGUUUAAAGGGUGCGGAGAUGGGUUGUUAAGUCAGUUGUGAAAGUUUGCUGCUUAAACGUAAACUUGCAAUUGAUACUGGAAGUCGUGAGUGCAGUUGAGGUAGGUGGAAUUCGAGGUGUAGCGGUGAAAUGCGUAGAUAUCACGAAGAACGCCGAUUGCGAAGGCAGCUCACUAAACUGUAACUGACACUGAGGCUCGAAAGUGUGGGUAUCAAACAGGAUUAGAUACCCGUGUAGUC
Molecule: ribosomal RNA, 459 nt
Filed under: uncultured bacterium
Lineage: Bacteria
Description: partial 16S ribosomal RNA
Rfam family: Bacterial small subunit ribosomal RNA
Source: RNAcentral